This 808-nucleotide ribosomal RNA is filed under the name Cassava frogskin disease phytoplasma. RNAcentral describes it as "bacterial SSU rRNA". It matches the Rfam family "Bacterial small subunit ribosomal RNA", at positions 467 to 1284 of the family's 1533-position model. The record is from RNAcentral. Lineage: Bacteria; Bacillati; Mycoplasmatota; Mollicutes; Acholeplasmatales; Acholeplasmataceae.
CCUUGACGGUACUUAAUGAAUAAGCCCCGGCUAAUUAUGUGCCAGCAGCCGCGGUAAUACAUAAGGGGCGAGCGUUAUCCGGAAUUAUUGGGCGUAAAGGGUGCGUAGGCGGUUUAAUAAGUCUAUAGUUUAAUUUCAGUGCUUAACGCUGUUGUGCUAUAGAAACUGUUUUACUAGAGUGAGUUAGAGGCAAGCGGAAUUCCAUGUGUAGCGGUAAAAUGCGUAAAUAUAUGGAGGAACACCAGAGGCGUAGGCGGCUUGCUGGGACUUUACUGACGCUGAGGCACGAAAGCGUGGGGAGCAAACAGGAUUAGAUACCCUGGUAGUCCACNCCGUAAACGAUGAGUACUAAGUGUCGGGUAAAACCGGUACUGAAGUUAACACAUUAAGUACUCCGCCUGAGUAGUACGUACGCAAGUAUGAAACUUAAAGGAAUUGACGGGACUCCGCACAAGCGGUGGAUCAUGUUGUUUAAUUCGAAGAUACACGAAAAACCUUACCAGGUCUUGACAUUUUCUUGCGAAGUUAUAGAAAUAUAAUGGAGGUUAUCAGGAAAACAGGUGGUGCAUGGUUGUCGUCAGCUCGUGUCGUGAGAUGUUAGGUUAAGUCCUAAAACGAGCGCAACCCUUGUCGUUAAUUGCCAGCAUGUAAUGAUGGGGACUUUAACGAGACUGCCAAUGAAAAAUUGGAGGAAGGUGGGGAUUACGUCAAAUCAUCAUGCCCCUUAUGAUCUGGGCUACAAACGUGAUACAAUGGUUGAUACAAAGAGUAGCUGAAACGCGAGUUCUUAGCCAAUCUCACAAAAUCA